RNAcentral lists this ribosomal RNA (253 nucleotides) under uncultured bacterium. Its description in RNAcentral is "partial 16S ribosomal RNA". It matches the Rfam family "Bacterial small subunit ribosomal RNA", at positions 524 to 776 of the family's 1533-position model. The record is from RNAcentral.
UACAGAGGUCCCAAGCGUUGUUCGGAUUCACUGGGCGUAAAGGGUGCGUAGGCGGUGGGGUAAGUCGGAUGUGAAAGCUCGGAGCUCAACUCCGAAAUGGCAUUGGAAACUACCCUGCUAGAGGAUUGGAGGGGGGACUGGAAUACUUGGUGUAGCAGUGAAAUGCGUAGAUAUCAAGUGGAACACCAGUGGCGAAGGCGAGUCCCUGGACAAUACCUGACACUGAGGCACGAAAGCUAGGGGAGCAAACAGG